CUAACUAUACUUUCAGAGAUCAUUUCUAUAGUAUUAGAAAAGUUUUUCUGAUCCUGUAGAGCACCCGAAGCCAUGAGGAGGAGCCAGAGCGUCCUCUCCUGAGCAUGAAGCCGGCUCUAGGUGUUGCUUCUGCUACUGCCUCUGGCCAUUGAUGAUCUCCUUCUCCCUUUCCUCUGGAGAGGGUAGAGGGAGAGGAUGCAGUCUGAGUGGU
Molecule: small nucleolar RNA, 211 nt
Organism: Suncus etruscus (white-toothed pygmy shrew)
Lineage: Eukaryota; Metazoa; Chordata; Mammalia; Eulipotyphla; Soricidae
Product: small nucleolar RNA U3
Exons: 1
Source: RefSeq, a predicted model, not a curated record